GAGUUUGAUCGUGGCUCAGGACGAACGCUGGCGGCGUGCUUAACACAUGCAAGUCGAACGAUGAAGCCCUUCGGGGUGGAUUAGUGGCGAACGGGUGAGUAACACGUGGGCAAUCUGCCCUGCACUCUGGGACAAGCCCUGGAAACGGGGUCUAAUACCGGAUAGCACUCUUUCCUGCAUGGGGGAAGGGUUGAAAGCUCCGGCGGUGCAGGAUGAGCCCGCGGCCUAUCAGCUUGUUGGUGGGGUGAUGGCCUACCAAGGCGACGACGGGUAGCCGGCCUGAGAGGGCGACCGGCCACACUGGGACUGAGACACGGCCCAAACUCCUACGGGAGGCAGCAGUGGGGAAUAUUGGACAAUGGGCGCAAGCCUGAUCCAGCCAUGCCGCGUGAGUGAUGAAGGCCCUAGGGUUGUAAAGCUCUUUCACCGGUGAAGAUAAUGACGGUAACCGGAGAAGAAGCCCCGGCUAACUUCGUGCCAGCAGCCGCCGCCGUAAU
RNAcentral lists this ribosomal RNA (497 nucleotides) under uncultured Alphaproteobacteria bacterium. RNAcentral's name for it is "bacterial SSU rRNA". It matches the Rfam family "Bacterial small subunit ribosomal RNA", at positions 9 to 524 of the family's 1533-position model. The record is from RNAcentral. Lineage: Bacteria; Pseudomonadati; Pseudomonadota; Alphaproteobacteria.